This 108-nucleotide ribosomal RNA is filed under the name uncultured bacterium. RNAcentral's name for it is "partial 16S ribosomal RNA". It matches the Rfam family "Bacterial small subunit ribosomal RNA", at positions 355 to 461 of the family's 1533-position model. The record is from RNAcentral.
UGAGGAAUAUUGGUCAAUGGGCUUACGCCUGAACCAGCCAAGUCGCGUGAGGGAAGACUGCCCUAUGGGUUGUAAACCUCUUUUGUCAGGGAGCAACAACAUCUACGA